RNAcentral lists this ribosomal RNA (1404 nucleotides) under uncultured bacterium. RNAcentral's name for it is "16S ribosomal RNA". It matches the Rfam family "Bacterial small subunit ribosomal RNA". The record is from RNAcentral.
AGAGUUUGAUCCUGGCUCAGGAUGAACGCUAGCGACAGGCUUAACACAUGCAAGUCGAGGGGCAGCGGGGGCGAAGCUUGCUUCGCCUGCCGGCGACCGGCGCACGGGUGAGUAACACGUAUGCGACCUGCCCCCCGCAGGGGGAUAACCGGGAGAAAUCCCGACUAAUACCGCGUAACGCCGCUGGGCUGCAUGGCCCGGCGGCCAAAGGAAGCGAUUCCGGCGGGGGAUGGGCAUGCGGCGCAUUAGCUAGUCGGCGGGGUAACGGCCCACCGAGGCGACGAUGCGUAGGGGUUCUGAGAGGAAGGUCCCCCACACUGGUACUGAGACACGGACCAGACUCCUACGGGAGGCAGCAGUGAGGAAUAUUGGUCAAUGGGCGGGAGCCUGAACCAGCCAAGUCGCGUGAGGGAAGACGGUCCUACGGAUUGUAAACCUCUUUUGCCGGGGAGCAACGGGGUCCUUGCGAGGGCCCGAUGAGAGUACCCGGAGAAAAAGCAUCGGCUAACUCCGUGCCAGCAGCCGCGGUAAUACGGAGGAUGCGAGCGUUAUCCGGAUUUAUUGGGUUUAAAGGGUGCGUAGGCGGGCUGUUAAGUCAGCGGUCAAAUGUCGGGGCUCAACCCCGGCCUGCCGUUGAAACUGGCGGCCUCGAGUGGGCGAGAAGUAUGCGGAAUGCGUGGUGUAGCGGUGAAAUGCAUAGAUAUCACGCAGAACUCCGAUUGCGAAGGCAGCAUACCGGCGCCAGACUGACGCUGAGGCACGAAAGCGUGGGUAUCGAACAGGAUUAGACACCCUGGUAGUCCACGCAGUAAACGAUGAAUGCUAGCUGUCCGGUUCUACGGGACUGGGUGGCACAGCGAAAGCGUUAAGCAUUCCACCUGGGGAGUACGCCGGCAACGGUGAAACUCAAAGGAAUUGACGGGGGCCCGCACAAGCGGAGGAACAUGUGGUUUAAUUCGAUGAUACGCGAGGAACCUUACCCGGGCUCAAACGCCAAAGGACAGCCGUUGAAAGGCGGCCUCCCCCCGGGGUCUUUGGCGAGGUGCUGCAUGGUUGUCGUCAGCUCGUGCCGUGAGGUGUCGGCUUAAGUGCCAUAACGAGCGCAACCCCCAUCGACAGUUGCUAACGGGUAGAGCCGAGGACUCUGUCGAGACUGCCGGCGCAAGCUGCGAGGAAGGCGGGGAUGACGUCAAAUCAGCACGGCCCUUACGUCCGGGGCGACACACGUGUUACAAUGGCCGGUACAGCGGGAUGCCAGGGCGCGAGCCCGAGCGGAACCCGAAAACCGGUCUCAGUUCGGAUUGGAGUCUGCAACCCGACUCCAUGAAGCUGGAUUCGCUAGUAAUCGCGCAUCAGCCACGGCGCGGUGAAUACGUUCCCGGGCCUUGUACUCACCGCCCGUCA